GCAGCCGCGGUAAUUCCAGCUCCAAUAUCUUAUAUUAAAGUUGUUGCAGUUAAAAAGCUCGUAGUUGAAUUUCGGGAUCAAUAUAUCGGUCGUGCCUUCGGUAUGUACUGGUAUUAUUGGUUUCUCCUUUCUGACAAACUAUGAUGUCAUUAAUUUGGUGUCAUGGGGAAUCAGGACUGUUACUUUGAAAAAAUUAGAGUGUUUAAAGCAGGCACACGCUUGAAUACAUUAGCAUGGAAUAAUGAAAUAGGACGUUUGACCCUAUUUUGCUGGUUUCUAGGAUCGACGUAAUGAUUAAUAGGGAUAGUUGGG
This 312-nucleotide ribosomal RNA is filed under the name uncultured Glomus. Its description in RNAcentral is "SSU rRNA". It matches the Rfam family "Eukaryotic small subunit ribosomal RNA", at positions 570 to 886 of the family's 1831-position model. Lineage: Eukaryota; Fungi; Glomeromycota; Glomeromycetes; Glomerales; Glomeraceae. The record is from RNAcentral.